RNAcentral lists this ribosomal RNA (1440 nucleotides) under uncultured organism. Its description in RNAcentral is "SSU rRNA". It matches the Rfam family "Bacterial small subunit ribosomal RNA". The record is from RNAcentral.
UUAACACAUGCAAGUCGAGGGGCAGCAUGAACUUAGCUUGCUAAGUUUGAUGGCGACCGGCGCACGGGUGAGUAACACGUAUCCAACCUGCCGAUGACUCGGGGAUAGCCUUUCGAAAGAAAGAUUAAUACCCGAUGGCAUAGUUCUUCCGCAUGGUAGGACUAUUAAAGAAUUUCGGUCAUCGAUGGGGAUGCGUUCCAUUAGGUUGUUGGCGGGGUAACGGCCCACCAAGCCUUCGAUGGAUAGGGGUUCUGAGAGGAAGGUCCCCCACAUUGGAACUGAGACACGGUCCAAACUCCUACGGGAGGCAGCAGUGAGGAAUAUUGGUCAAUGGACGAGAGUCUGAACCAGCCAAGUAGCGUGAAGGAUGACUGCCCUAUGGGUUGUAAACUUCUUUUAUACGGGAAUAAAGUGAGGCACGUGUGCCUUUUUGUAUGUACCGUAUGAAUAAGGAUCGGCUAACUCCGUGCCAGCAGCCGCGGUAAUACGGAGGAUCCGAGCGUUAUCCGGAUUUAUUGGGUUUAAAGGGAGCGUAGGCGGACGCUUAAGUCAGUUGUGAAAGUUUGCGGCUCAACCGUAAAAUUGCAGUUGAUACUGGGUGUCUUGAGUACAGUAGAGGCAGGCGGAAUUCGUGGUGUAGCGGUGAAAUGCUUAGAUAUCACGAAGAACUCCGAUUGCGAAGGCAGCUUGCUGGACUGUAACUGACGCUGAUGCUCGAAAGUGUGGGUAUCAAACAGGAUUAGAUACCCUGGUAGUCCACACAGUAAACGAUGAAUACUCGCUGUUUGCGAUAUACAGUAAGCGGCCAAGCGAAAGCGUUAAGUAUUCCACCUGGGGAGUACGCCGGCAACGGUGAAACUCAAAGGAAUUGACGGGGGCCCGCACAAGCGGAGGAACAUGUGGUUUAAUUCGAUGAUACGCGAGGAACCUUACCCGGGCUUGAAUUGCAACUGAAUGAUGUGGAGACAUGUCAGCCGCAAGGCAGUUGUGAAGGUGCUGCAUGGUUGUCGUCAGCUCGUGCCGUGAGGUGUCGGCUUAAGUGCCAUAACGAGCGCAACCCUUAUCGAUAGUUACCAUCAGGUUAUGCUGGGGACUCUGUCGAGACUGCCGUCGUAAGAUGUGAGGAAGGUGGGGAUGACGUCAAAUCAGCACGGCCCUUACGUCCGGGGCUACACACGUGUUACAAUGGGGGGUACAGAAGGCAGCUACACGGCGACGUGAUGCUAAUCCCGAAAGCCUCUCUCAGUUCGGAUUGGAGUCUGCAACCCGACUCCAUGAAGCUGGAUUCGCUAGUAAUCGCGCAUCAGCCACGGCGCGGUGAAUGCGUUCCCGGGCCUUGUACACACCGCCCGUCAAGCCAUGAAAGCCGGGGGUACCUGAAGUGCGUAACCGCGAGGAGCGCCCUAGGGUAAAACUGGUGAUUGGGGCUAAGUCAUAACA